GACGAACGCUGGCGGCGUGCUUAACACAUGCAAGUCGAACGGACCCUUUGGGGUUAGUGGCGAACGGGUGAGUAACACGUGGGUGAUCUGCCCUGCACUUUGGGAUAAGCCUGGGAAACUGGGUCUAAUACCGGAUAGGACUACGCACUGCAUGGUGUGUGGUGGAAAGCUUUUGCGGUGUGGGAUGGGCCCGCGGCCUAUCAGCUUGUUGGUGGGGUGAUGGCCUACCAAGGCGACGACGGGUAGCCGGCCUGAGAGGGUGACCGGCCACACUGGGACUGAGAUACGGCCCAGACUCCUACGGGAGGCAGCAGUGGGGAAUAUUGCACAAUGGGCGCAAGCCUGAUGCAGCGACGCCGCGUGAGGGAUGACGGCCUUCGGGUUGUAAACCUCUUUCGCCAGGGACGAAGCGCAAGUGACGGUACCUGGAGAAGAAGGACCGGCCAACUACGUGCCAGCAGCCGCGAUAAUACGUAGGGUCCGAGCGUUGUCCGGAAUUACUGGGCGUAAAGAGCUCGUAGGUGGUUUGUCGCGUUGUUCGUGAAAACUCACAGCUUAACUGUGGGCGUGCGGGCGAUACGGGCAGACUGGAGUACUGCAGGGGAGACUGGAAUUCCUGGUGUAGCGGUGGAAUGCGCAGAUAUCAGGAGGAACACCGGUGGCGAAGGCGGGUCUCUGGGCAGUAACUGACGCUGAGGAGCGAAAGCGUGGGGAGCGAACAGGAUUAGAUACCCUGGUAGUCCACGCCGUAAACGGUGGGUACUAGGUGUGGGUUUCCUUCCUUGGGAUCCGUGCCGUAGCUAACGCAUUAAGUACCCCGCCUGGGGAGUACGGCCGCAAGGCUAAAACUCAAAGGAAUUGACGGGGGCCCGCACAAGCGGCGGAGCAUGUGGAUUAAUUCGAUGCAACGCGAAGAACCUUACCUGGGUUUGACAUGCACAGGACGCCGGCAGAGAUGUCGGUUCCCUUGUGGCCUGUGUGCAGGUGGUGCAUGGCUGUCGUCAGCUCGUGUCGUGAGAUGUUGGGUUAAGUCCCGCAACGAGCGCAACCCUUGUCUCAUGUUGCCAGCACGUUAUGGUGGGGACUCGUGAGAGACUGCCGGGGUCAACUCGGAGGAAGGUGGGGAUGACGUCAAGUCAUCAUGCCCCUUAUGUCCAGGGCUUCACACAUGCUACAAUGGCCGGUACAAAGGGCUGCGAUGCCGUGAGGUGGAGCGAAUCCUUUCAAAGCCGGUCUCAGUUCGGAUCGGGGUCUGCAACUCGACCCCGUGAAGUCGGAGUCGCUAGUAAUCGCAGAUCAGCAACGCUGCGGUGAAUACGUUCCCGGGCCU
Molecule: ribosomal RNA, 1330 nt
Filed under: uncultured bacterium
Lineage: Bacteria
Description: bacterial SSU rRNA
Rfam family: Bacterial small subunit ribosomal RNA
Source: RNAcentral